RNAcentral lists this ribosomal RNA (493 nucleotides) under uncultured bacterium. RNAcentral describes it as "bacterial SSU rRNA". It matches the Rfam family "Bacterial small subunit ribosomal RNA", at positions 899 to 1397 of the family's 1533-position model. The record is from RNAcentral.
ACUCAAAUGAAUAGACGGGACCCCGCACAAGCGGUGGAUUAUGUUGUUUAAUUCGACGCAACGCGAAGAACCUUACCAGGCCUUGACAUACUCAGCAAAGCCCUAGAGAUAGGGUGGAGGUUAUCUGGGAUACAGGUGGUGCAUGGUUGUCGUCAGCUCGUGUCGUGAGAUGUUGGGUUAAGUCCCGCAACGAGCGCAACCCUUGUCUUUAGUUACCAUCAUUCAGUUGGGGACUCUAGAGAGACUGCCGGUGAUAAACCGGAGGAAGGUGGGGAUGACGUCAAAUCAUCAUGCCCCUUAUGGCCUGGGCUACAAACGUAAUACAAUGGCGUAUACAAAGGGAUGCGAAAGGGCGACCUGGAGCAAAACUCAUAAAGUACGUCUCAGUUCAGAUUGGAGUCUGCAACUCGACUCCAUGAAGGCGGAAUCGCUAGUAAUCGCGGAUCAGCAUGCCGCGGUGAAUACGUUCUCGGGGUUUGCACACACCGCCCGU